Molecule: long non-coding RNA, 622 nt
Organism: Corticium candelabrum
Lineage: Eukaryota; Metazoa; Porifera; Homoscleromorpha; Homosclerophorida; Plakinidae
Exons: 3
Source: RefSeq, a predicted model, not a curated record
CAAACGGUCUUUUUUAGUGGUACACGUACAGUACACUUGUUUGUUGCUGCGCGAGCGACACAAUUGCUGUUCUGGCGCAGCGAGGCAUUAUACCUAAAGAAAUGGCGGCAACAACUACAGACGUCUAUCCUCCACACCAAACAUCUCUACUUCAUCGCUCUGCAUCUCCAGCACAGCAGCAGGCACAUGUUUCUAUGUUGGAUGCUGAUGAGUCAAUGAUGUCUGACAACAAAUGAACAAGAAAAGUUGUCAACCGUAAGACAAUAGACUACAACUCAUCAGUGAAUUGUGGUUUAGAGGAUCCUGAGGGAUUAUAGAGAUAGACGAGCGCUGCAGCCGAACAAAUGUUAUUAUGGAGAAAAUGAAACGCAAAAGAUGGUAGCUGAACAACGCAUGAUAGCUACAAACACAGUAACCGACAAAGACGAUCGAAGCCUACCAACGAUCUUCGUUCACCAGUGAUCUUUGUUCCAACAGCAAGGAGCGACUGAUUCUAGCCACGACAACACGGCAGCGAUAACGUACUACACAUGCAACAAGCGACUACAACACUGGUAUGAAACAAGGGAAAUGUUACAGUUUACUCAACGCCACUUCAGCUACAUGUACUAGGCCGUAAAUC